AGGUGGGGAUGAGUAGCAAUGCUGUGUACUAGGAGGUAUUGCACUUGUCCCGGCCUGU
Molecule: microRNA precursor, 58 nt
Filed under: Tetraodon nigroviridis (spotted green pufferfish)
Lineage: Eukaryota; Metazoa; Chordata; Actinopteri; Tetraodontiformes; Tetraodontidae
Description: Tni-Mir-92-P1a1_pre stem-loop
Rfam family: mir-92 microRNA precursor family
About the family: This family represents the microRNA precursor mir-92. Human miR-92 has two predicted hairpin precursor sequences: mir-92-1 on chromosome 13 and mir-92-2 on chromosome X. miR-92 has also been cloned from mouse embryonic stem cells.
Source: RNAcentral